GGUAAAAUGGCUGAGUAAAGCAAUAGACUGUAAAUCUAAGAACAGGGGUUUAAUUCCUCUUUUUACCA
This 68-nucleotide transfer RNA is filed under the name Naemorhedus baileyi (red goral). Its description in RNAcentral is "tRNA-Tyr". It matches the Rfam family "tRNA". Rfam says of the family: Transfer RNA (tRNA) molecules are approximately 80 nucleotides in length. The record is from RNAcentral. RNAcentral also lists the same sequence under 1 other name. Lineage: Eukaryota; Metazoa; Chordata; Mammalia; Artiodactyla; Bovidae.